This 1506-nucleotide long non-coding RNA is filed under the name Mus musculus (house mouse). Its description in RNAcentral is "long non-coding RNA chr2:166703774-166705280". Lineage: Eukaryota; Metazoa; Chordata; Mammalia; Rodentia; Muridae. The record is from RNAcentral.
CUGAAAUUGUUCCACAAUGCACAGAGUAGCCCCACUCUGUAGAACUGCAAGCCCAGCAUAUCCUGACAAGCAGCUGGCUCCUCCAGGACUCACUUCUGGGACACUGGAUUAUAGGGUGACAGUCCCCAAGGCUCUGGGGACAGGACUCUGUCUAAUUGCAGGGCCAGUGUCCCUCACAAGGACCGCAGCUUCUCACCUGGAAACAAAAGACUCAGCCCAUGACCCAUGACUUGCUCUGUAGCUGGCAGAGCCAUCUGAAGACCAGGGUGACGGCCCGUUCUACCCUGUCUCAGUAGUUAGGUGGGGAGGUCAGAGGACACACGUUGGAUUAGGGUAAGCCCCCUAUGUCAGGAUUCUACCCAGAGAGCUAUUUUCCAGGAAAGCAAAAAGCAAUAAGCAAAUGAAAUUUGACACCGGCAGGAGCUGCCUACUCCAAAGACAUCCUCUUGAAGGAAGAGCCUGAGAAAGGACCUGCCCAGCAGGACCUGACUCCUUGACCUAAUCAAGGGAGUACUUUCUAGUUAGUACUCCUGCCCUGAGGUCUCCCAGGCCAGGAACUCCUGCACCAUCCAUCUCUCCUGGAGUGACAGGAUCUGUGGCAGUCAGGAGGAGUGUGAAAAUAAUGGUGAAUGACCUUCCUGUGUCUGAGAAAAAGCCGUUCAUUCACAGGACAAGAGCCUCACGUGCCCUGUUGGCGACUGAAUUCCCUGGGCCUGGCUCACAGUCUGGAAGGGGCAGCAAGUGUCCCAUAAAUACCUGUGCGCUGAGAGAUGUAAUCAGUGCCCAAAUUUCCAUCUGUCUGGGGCUCUGCUUGCCACAAACACGAAAAUAGGGCCACCAAACCCAGACAUCUGAGAUGUUAUCAUCAAGGGUUCUCACUGGGGCCAGGGAUAUGGUUUAGCGGUAGAAAGCUUGCUUAGUAUGUGCAAGGCCUUGGGUUCCAUCCCCAACACCAUAAACUAUCCAGUAUCUCAGCUGGUAAAACACUCGCCUGACAUACAAGAAGUCCCAAGUUCAAUUCCCAGCAAUAUAGAAAUGGGUUGUGGCUGCACGUGUCUGUAAUCUCAGCACUUAGAAGAGGAGAUGAAGAACCAGAAAUUAGAGAACACUCUUCUCCAAGAUUAAAACAUUCCAUCCUGCAGGGAGGUCAACAACAAAAAGCAAUUCAGGAACUCCCUGAAGCUGAGUAGAGUCACUAGGCCCCGCCCCUCCAGAGUAAGCAGAGACUAACCACAAAGACAACCCAGACCAGGGCAGCUGCCUGCAAAGAACAACAACCAGCCGGGCUGUCUGGACGAGGACCAACUGAGGCAUCUGGAAAAGACACUCUCCAACCUGUUGAGCUGCCUUCUGGCUGUGCAGUGAGCUCCAUGUUUACAGCUCUGUGAGCUGUCACCCAUGCUAGGUGGGCUUUGGUGAUGCAGCUGUCUUUGAGUCAUUUGUGCUCCUGUGAGUCACCCCUUACCCAUAUUCCUGUCAAUAACCCAAUAAAACUCAUGGCUCACC